AAAGAAAAUAAACAACCGUAGACAGCGGGUGGAAAAUUCCUUAAUUUCCCGCCGAGGUACAAUGUAAAUAUAUUGACCUUGUUGUUUUACGGCAGCAGGGUUUUUUUAUG
Molecule: small RNA, 110 nt
Filed under: chicken gut metagenome
Description: Ribosomal protein L10 leader
Rfam family: Ribosomal protein L10 leader
About the family: This family is a putative r-protein leader autoregulatory structure found in B. subtilis and other low-GC Gram-positive bacteria. It is located in the 5' untranslated regions of mRNAs encoding ribosomal proteins L10 and L12 (rplJ-rplL).
Source: RNAcentral